RNAcentral lists this ribosomal RNA (484 nucleotides) under uncultured bacterium. Its description in RNAcentral is "partial 16S ribosomal RNA". It matches the Rfam family "Bacterial small subunit ribosomal RNA", at positions 30 to 507 of the family's 1533-position model. The record is from RNAcentral.
AUUGAACGCUGGCGGCAGGCCUAACACAUGCAAGUCGAGCGGAUGAAGGGAGCUUGCUCCUGGAUUCAGUGGCGGACGGGUGAGUAAUGCCUAGGAAUCUGCCUGGUAGUGGGGGAUAACGUCCGGAAACGGGCGCUAAUACCGCAUACGUCCUGAGGGAGAAAGUGGGGGAUCUUCGGACCUCACGCUAUCAGAUGAGCCUAGGUCGGAUUAGCUAGUUGGUGGGGUAAAGGCCUACCAAGGCGACGAUCCGUAACUGGUCUGAGAGGCUGAUCAGUCACACUGGAACUGAGACACGGUCCAGACUCCUACGGGAGGCAGCAGUAGGGAAUAUUGGACAAUGGGCGAAAGCCUGAUCCAGCCAUGCCGCGUGUGUGAAGAAGGUCUUCGGAUUGUAAAGCACUUUAAGUUGGGAGGAAGGACAGUAAGUUAAUACCUGGCUGUUUUGACGUUACCAACAGAGUAAGCACCGGCUAACUUCGUG